GGGGCGGCUUGUGGUGGGGAUGGAAGGUGAGAAGAAUGACAGACUUGUAUGAAAAUGUUAACUAAUGGUUACUUGACACGCCAUCAACAUCUGGGUGAAAUAGAAACUAUAUAUAGUGAGGAUAUAUAGACAUACACGGGUGUUGAAAGAGGAGAAGUGAAAAAAAAUAUGAAGGCUUUAGGAUGCUUAUUGGUUUUAAUAAUUUUACUUCUACAAGAUGUUGAUGCUGGCUAUACUAGAAACGUUUUAUCCAAUGGGAAUUGUCACGGCAACUUAAACAAUUGUCCAAGCAAUGAAAUCUGUGCAUCGGGUGAAAAUUGUAUUGUCACUCACGUACUAUGUAUAGACAGAUGUUUUCCUUGU
Molecule: long non-coding RNA, 363 nt
Organism: Ruditapes philippinarum (Manila clam)
Lineage: Eukaryota; Metazoa; Mollusca; Bivalvia; Venerida; Veneridae
Exons: 3
Source: RefSeq, a predicted model, not a curated record